UUUACGGUACAUAGUUAUAAUUUGAAUUUAUAAAGGAAUUUUAUUGUUUGGAGUAGAUUUAUGAAAUGAGUUUUUUACUAUAGUGGAUAAGUACUGUGAAGGAAAUUAUGAAAUAAUUGAAAAUUUAAUAUUAAGUAAGUACUUUUGUUAAAGGUACCUUUUGUAUCAGGGAUUAUUAAAGUUUUAUUUUUAUAAGUAAUUCUCGAAAAUAAAAGAUUUAAUAAAUUAAAGUGGUUUUUGUGUCAAAAAAAUCAAAUAUAGUUUAUUAGGGGUGAGAUGUGAUUCGAUUUUAUUAAUAUCUAGUAGACUUUGAGUGAAAUUUAGUUUAAAAAGUUGAGGGCGAAAUUAAUUUGUUUAAAUUUUGCUUUAAGAUUUUUUUAUUUUUUAGGGGUUGAGCUCUAAGGAUUUUUAAUAAUUUUUCAGAAAAUUGUUUUUGAAUUAGGCUUAGAAUUAGCUAUCUGAAAGUUUUAUAAGAUAGGGAAUUAAGUAAGUUAUUUAAUUAAGUUUUAAAAUUUAAAUGUCUAAAUUCUCGAAUGAGAUGAGAUUAGAAAUAAUGAUAGUAUUAGUAGAUUUAAGAAAAAAUUUGGGAGUUAAUUUUUAGAUUUUCUUGAAAUUUUUUUAUUUUAGUAAUAUGUCAAAAGAACUCGGCAAAUGGAAUUUCCGAAUGUUUAACAAAAACAUUUCCUCUUUUUAGGGAGGUAAGGCCUGCUCACUGAUUUUUAAAGAGCCGCAGUAUUUUGACUGUGCAAAGGUAGCAUAAUCAUUAGUCUUUUAAUAGGAGGCUGGAAUGAAUGGCUAAACGAGAAAUUGACUUUUUUUGGCAUAAAGUUUGAAUUUAAUUUUUUAGUGAAAAAGCUAAAAUUUUCUAAAAAGACGAGAAGACCCUAGAGAGUUUUAUUUUUUAUCAAAAUAAAAAUUUUUGGUUUUUAUAGUUUUGAUUUUGUGUAAAAAUUUUGUUGGGGUGACAUUGAGAUAAGAGAAACUCUUUAUAAAAGAAAACUUUAAUGGAAGUGAAAUUUAUUGAUCCUUUAUAAAGGAUUAAAAGUGAAAUUACCUUAGGGAUAACAGCGUAAUCUUUUUUGAGAGUUCUAAUCGACAAAAAGGUUUGCGACCUCGAUGUUGGAUUAAAUUUUAGGCAAGGUGUAGCCGCUUUGUUUUUAGGUCUGUUCGACCUAUAGUAAUUUACAUGAUCUGAGUUCAGACCGGCGUGAGCCAGGUUGGUUUCUAUCUUUUAGAUUUAGGGAGUAGGUUUAGUACGAAAGGAUUGACUUAUUAUAAUUAUUAUUUAAAAAUUUGAGUGUCAUUAAAUUUUAUAA
Molecule: ribosomal RNA, 1316 nt
Filed under: Vulcanolepas fijiensis
Lineage: Eukaryota; Metazoa; Arthropoda; Thecostraca; Neolepadidae
Description: 16S ribosomal RNA
Rfam family: Bacterial large subunit ribosomal RNA (bases 843-1238)
Source: RNAcentral